RNAcentral lists this ribosomal RNA (477 nucleotides) under uncultured bacterium. Its description in RNAcentral is "partial 16S ribosomal RNA". It matches the Rfam family "Bacterial small subunit ribosomal RNA", at positions 28 to 507 of the family's 1533-position model. The record is from RNAcentral.
GAUUAACGCUGGCGGCGUGCAUAACACAUGCAAGUCGAACGAUGAAACUUUAAUGACCCCUUCGGGGAGAAUUAAAGCGGAUUAGUGGCGAACGGGUGAGUAACGCGUGAGUAACCUGCCUUACACAAGGGGAUAGCCUUUGGAAACGAAGAAUAAUACCCUAUAAAACCAUAAAAGCACAUGCAAUUAUGGUCAAAGUGAUAGCGGUGUAAGAUGGACUUGCGUCUGAUUAGCUAGUUGGUGAGAUAAAAGCCCACCAAGGCAACGAUCAGUAGCCGGCUUGAGAGAGUGUACGGCCACAUUGGGACUGAGACACGGCCCAGACUCCUACGGGAGGCAGCAGUGGGGAAUUUUGCACAAUGGGGGAAACCCUGAUGCAGCGACGCCGCGAGAUUUAGAAGGCCUUCGGGUUGUAAAAAUCUUUUGUAUAGGAAGAAAAUGACAGUACUAUACGAAUAAGGUCCGGCUAAUUACGUG